GUCUUGAUAAUAUACUGCUAAAGUGAUGUGCAGUAGAUGAAGCUUAAGUUUAAUCAUAUAACCAUUUAACUGCAUAUUUAUCAUCUAAGGACUGGCAACUCGCAUAUUUCGAAGGUCAGAUCUUGAAGUGGAAGGGUUCCCAUUUAAUAUUUGUUUUUCUUUAUUUGAAUAAUUUAGCUGACGCUCUUACCCAGCGCUACUUAAAGUAGGCUGAACAUAAUAUACUUUUCCAUGUUUCACAAGCUGUGCUCUACCGACAGGAUCCGUAUUCCUUUCUCCUGCUCUCCACUCCAUCGUCUUCCUCGCUACUGAAGCAAGACAUGAUCUAUUAUCCACAUAGUUGACCACUGUAGCAAAACCCUGACUACCACUGAGGUAACUUUGUUUCUGUCGUUCUCUCUCCCUUUUCACUCUCUCAUACACGCACACACAUGCCUACUAUCCCUCUAUCAACCCCCCUCCUUCCCAAAUCUCUCGACGGAUAACGGGCAGUUUGCUCCUUUCCUCAUGGAGUGUAGCAGAAACAAGCUGGAUGGGUAAGUAAUAACGAUGGGCUGCACUCCAUCUAAGUCGUCCAUGACCUACACACAGGAGCGGGUGUGUCGGGACUUGGACACUUGCUCCACCUUCGUCCCUAGUCUCAAGAGUUCUGUCUCUACCCCAGAGAGACCUUCGCCUCGGCUCUAUGUGGAAACCAACAGCGGCCAACCGACUUUCCUCAGUGUUCCGGUCCGUGAAACCUAUGGGUGGUCUGUAAGCCAGCCUUCCAGCCCGGACGCGUGGAACACUGCGUCCACCACCAACCCACUAUGUCUACCGCGAUCUAGUGUCAAGCCCAGCUGCAGCGACAGAGACAGUGACUCCGACCGCGAUGAGACUCACACAUCCAACUAGAGGUGAAAUCCCGAAGACUGGGGAAACUCUUCCCGCAACUGAAAAAAGAUCGUGGCCGGCGAUAGAAGUGAAAGAUUGGGAUAGAGCUAGCGAAAUGUUACCACUCUCAAAUAGAAAUAGAUAUGGAUGAAAGGACUGUCCGAUAUACAAAUACAAAUUUCAACCAUGUUUUCAGGAAAUAGGGUAUGUUUUACAUUAAAAAAAAUGACAUACACACUUGUAAAUGUUAAUAUCUUUAAGCAUCAAAUGUCAUUAAUUUAGGCCCAAAAUUAUUUACGUAGAAUGCUUUCUUAGACCCCUUAAUGAAUAUCGUUUUCCCUUAUGUAUGUCAUUGAUAUUAUUGUUUAUUGUCUAGAAUCUUACAGUAAAAGACAGUAUUUUUUAACUUUUGUAAGUCUUUUUUAAAGGCUGGUUGUAGUAUUCACUCAAACCCAGCACAUCAGUGACCAAAAUAUUGAAGGCCUAUCAGACCUGUACAUGUGUUAGAUCUAUGUAUUUUUAACCAUUAAGCUAAUAGUUGUUCAUGCAGAUUUGCACAGGUGAAAGAAUGAAUCACGGAUGGAGGCGUCUUCAAUGUUUAUCCAGCUGUCAUAGUACUUGUCUCUAGAUGUUACAAUCACAGCUCUUGCCAGUGUUGGUUUCAGUGGUUACAAUGUGACC
Molecule: long non-coding RNA, 1554 nt
Organism: Esox lucius (northern pike)
Lineage: Eukaryota; Metazoa; Chordata; Actinopteri; Esociformes; Esocidae
Source: Ensembl